UGGAGAGUUUGAUCCUGGCUCAGAACGAACGCUGGCGGCAGGCUUAACACAUGCAAGUCGAACGCCCCGCAAGGGGAGUGGCAGACGGGUGAGUAACGCGUGGGAACAUACCCUUUCCUGCGGAAUAGCUCCGGGAAACUGGAAUUAAUACCGCAUACGCCCUACGGGGGAAAGAUUUAUCGGGGAAGGAUUGGCCCGCGUUGGAUUAGCUAGUUGGUGGGGUAAAGGCCUACCAAGGCGACGAUCCAUAGCUGGUCUGAGAGGAUGAUCAGCCACAUUGGGACUGAGACACGGCCCAAACUCCUACGGGAGGCAGCAGUGGGGAAUAUUGGACAAUGGGCGCAAGCCUGAUCCAGCCAUGCCGCGUGAGUGAUGAAGGCCUUAGGGUUGUAAAGCUCUUUC
This 402-nucleotide ribosomal RNA is filed under the name Agrobacterium tumefaciens. Its description in RNAcentral is "bacterial SSU rRNA". It matches the Rfam family "Bacterial small subunit ribosomal RNA", at positions 1 to 437 of the family's 1533-position model. Lineage: Bacteria; Pseudomonadati; Pseudomonadota; Alphaproteobacteria; Hyphomicrobiales; Rhizobiaceae. The record is from RNAcentral.